GUGAAAUUGUUGAAAGGGAAACGCUUGAAACCAGUCAUGUGGUUGGAAAAUCAGUGUUCAAUUGGGGGGAAUGGGGGAGGUGUGGACCGCAAGGCUGCUCUUUUCUAUAUCUCUUUUGUUGGGCAUGCACUUUUUCUUCUGCAGGUCAACAUCAGUUUCUUUUGCUGGACAAAACUCUUGAGAAGGUAGCAGCUUAGGCUGUGUUAUAGCUCUGGAGCGAUACAGUGGAGGAGACUGAGGUUUUCGCAGCAUGUGCUCUCGGGCAAGGCCAGUUGGAUGCUAUGGGAUCGUUCGGGGUACAAUACAUGUAUUUUGCCUCGUGUCUUUUCUAUACUCGUUCAGUUGUGCUCUUCCAUGCUUAGGAUGUUGACUUAAUGGUUUUAAUCGACCCGUCUUGAAACACGGACCAAGGAGUCUAACAUAUAUGCAAGUGUUUGGGUGGCAAACCCAUGCGCGUAAUGAAAGUGAACGUAGGUGCCAUCCGCAAGGUGCAGCAUCGACCGAUCUUGAUAUUUUUGGAUAGAUUUGAGUAAGAGCAUAUAUGCUGGGACCCGAAAGAUGGUGAACUAUGCCUGAAUAGGGUGAAGCCAGAGGAAACUCUGGUGGAGGCUCGUAGCGAUUCUGACGUGCAAAUCGAUCGUCAAAUUUGGGUAUAGGGGCGAAAGACUAAUCCAACCAUCUAGUAGCUGGUUCCUGCCGAAGUUUCCCUCAGGAUAG
This 717-nucleotide ribosomal RNA is filed under the name uncultured fungus. Its description in RNAcentral is "LSU rRNA". It matches the Rfam family "Eukaryotic large subunit ribosomal RNA", at positions 399 to 981 of the family's 3401-position model. The record is from RNAcentral. Lineage: Eukaryota; Fungi.